This 252-nucleotide ribosomal RNA is filed under the name uncultured bacterium. Its description in RNAcentral is "partial 16S ribosomal RNA". It matches the Rfam family "Bacterial small subunit ribosomal RNA", at positions 57 to 305 of the family's 1533-position model. The record is from RNAcentral.
GCAAGUCGAGGGGUAACAUUGAUGCCUGCAUUAGAUGACGACCGGCGCACGGGUGCGUAAAGCGUAUAGAACCUACCGUUUACAGGGGAAUAGCCUUUAGAAAUGAAGAUUAAUGCCCCAUAGUAUUGAGAAAUCGCAUGAUUUUUUAAUUAAAGAUUUAUCGGCAAAAGAUGGCUAUGCGUCCUAUUAGUUAGUGUGGUAAGGUAACGGCUUACCAAGACAUCGAUAGGUAGGGGUCCUGAGAGGGAGAUC